Molecule: long non-coding RNA, 1395 nt
Organism: Anguilla rostrata (American eel)
Lineage: Eukaryota; Metazoa; Chordata; Actinopteri; Anguilliformes; Anguillidae
Exons: 2
Source: RefSeq, a predicted model, not a curated record
GGGUGAGUGUGUGUGUGUGUGUGUGUUGUGUGUGUGUGUUGUGUGUGGGGUGAGUGUGUGUGUGUGUGUGUGUGUGUGUGUGUGUGGGGUGAGUGUGUGUGUGUGUGUGUGUGUGUUGUGUGUGUGUGUGUGUGUGUGUGCUCACAGUUAAACAUUGCCCCUGCUUUCACGGUGGAAUGAGAUCAGGAAACUGAAGGCCUGUGUGGACAAACGGCCAGUGGCAUCACAGCCACAGGAAGCGUCACUUCAGGGGCGGUCCACAUCAGUCUCCACGCGUGCUGAACUCCACCCACCAGUCGCCAGGCCGCACCACGGCAGUGACUCUGCCGGGACCCUCCACACUGCCAGCGCCCGCCCGCUUCUCCAGGUACAGGCUGAGAACGACGGGCUCGGCUCUGGCCUCAGAAUACGGGAGUGUGCGCUGGGAGAAACCGGCGCCAACCAGACUCACCGGGCAGCACUGGGGAUAUUCGGUGGUGCUCGGGGCUUAACGCUGAUCUGGAAUCCGGAACGAAAGGAAAACUGCAAUAAUCCAGCUCAUCACAGGAAGUGACAUAUUAACAUUCACUCCUUGCAUUUAAGACACCACUGAUCCCCUUCGAAAAACAACGCAGAUGGAAAAAAAAGAGUGUCCUUGCUUUUUUUAAAAGUAAAUUGCAUCACGCAAUUAAUCUCCCCGCAUUUAGGGGUGAAGUAAUUUAAAGGGGUGAGCAGUGGUUUACCUCGUUAGAAAAAUAAAUGUUGCUUUAAUUUCUUUUUUUUCCCCAAAGGGAGGAAAGCUGGAGCCAAUUCUGAAAUUAAUAAACAGCUGGAAACAAAACUGAGGAAGAUCCCUCCCUCUAUUGUCCCAUUAUUUUUCCUCAUGAGCCCAACACAUUGCACUGAGUUUGCAGUCAAGUGUAGAGCGCUCCAAGUUAUGAAGCAUUACAGUGAAAAACAACAUUUUAUAGAUAAAUAUUGCCCUACAUCCUACGCAAAACAGAUUUAAGAUUGAGAAUUGUACUUUAAGAAAGACAGAAGUAUUGUAAAGAUACAAAUAUAUAUAUAUAACUAUAUUGUUAUUACUACUGUUGCUGUAUAUGUUGCCAUGGUUCUUGAUAAUGUACUGUAUGUACAAGAUUGUAACUGUAUGUAAUGAUGUUUGUAUGUGUCUAGGACUUGUUUGUAACCGUACAGGGUUAUGAGUAGCUAUUAAGAAAUGUGCAUCAGCUGUGAUGUUUUUUUUAGUGGGUUUAUUAUUAUUAAUAAUAAUAAUAUUAUUUCUAAGAUGAGCAAUGUUCCUGUAUAGCACUUUUUUCUUUUUUACUGAUCUUUUCUGGCCUGGUUCCAUUGAACUGGAAUGUGGUCUCCCAGAUGUCUCUUGUAUGAACUCAAAAUGUACUGUAUGAUAAGCAA